UCGAGAAUCUUCCGCAAUGGACGAAAGUCUGACGGAGCGACGCCGCGUGCGGGAUGAAGGCCCUUGGGUUGUAAACCGCUGUCAGAGGGGAUGAAAUCUCCGAAGGUACUCCUUCGGAGUUGACAGAGCCUCAAAGGAAGCACGGGCUAAGUACGUGCCAGCAGCCGCGGUAACACGUACUGUGCGAACGUUAUUCGGAAUCACUGGGCUUAAAGGGUGCGUAGGCGGCAGAUCAAGUCAGGUGUGAAAGACCUGAGCUCAACUGAGGUAUAGCGCUUGAAACUGAUUUGCUAGAGUAUCCCAGGGGUGUGCGGAACUGCCAGUGGAGCGGUGAAAUGUGUUGAUAUUGGCAGGAACACCGGAGGCGAAAGCGGCACACUGGGGGAUAACUGACGCUGAGGCACGAAAGCCAGGGGAGCGAACGGG
Molecule: ribosomal RNA, 426 nt
Filed under: uncultured bacterium
Lineage: Bacteria
Description: bacterial SSU rRNA
Rfam family: Bacterial small subunit ribosomal RNA
Source: RNAcentral